UAUUAGGUUGGUGCAAAAGUAAUUGCAGUUUUUGCAAUUGAAAGUAUUGCAGAAACCGCAUUUAAUUGCAAAAACCGCAAUUACUUUUGCACCAACCUAAUA
Homo sapiens (human) is the source of this 102-nucleotide microRNA precursor. It matches the Rfam family "mir-548 microRNA precursor family". The record is from Rfam. NCBI's taxonomy places the organism in Eukaryota, Metazoa, Chordata, Mammalia, Primates, Hominidae.